GUGACGUGAUGAUCCAGUUUAUCCAUUCGCUGAGCGGCGGCCGGCUGGUCUCUGCUCUGCUCCCGUUUUGGGGGCGGGGCCUUUCUGUUGAGGUUCCAGGUUCAAGCUGGCGUUCUGCUGGUCCUGACCUGGGACCGGACGGAGAGAAGGACUCGACCCGACUGCUACCAAGACGAUUUACUCUUCUGAUCAC
Limanda limanda (common dab) is the source of this 193-nucleotide small nucleolar RNA. RefSeq annotates it as small nucleolar RNA SNORD17. The record is from RefSeq and is a predicted model, not a curated record. NCBI's taxonomy places the organism in Eukaryota, Metazoa, Chordata, Actinopteri, Pleuronectiformes, Pleuronectidae. The transcript has a single exon.